UACGGGGGGGGGCAAGCGUUGUUCGGAGUUACUGGGCGUAAAGGGCUCGUAGGCGGCCAACUAAGUCGGAUGUGAAAUCCCCAGGCUCAACUUGGGAACUGCAUCCGAUACUGGAUGGCUUGAAUUCGGGAGAGGGAUGCAGAAUUCCAGGUGUAGCGGUGAAAUGCGUAGAUAUCUGGAGGAAUACCGGUGGCGAAGGCGGCAUCCUGGACCGACAUUGACGCUGAGGAGCGAAAGUGUGGGGAGCGAACAGG
RNAcentral lists this ribosomal RNA (254 nucleotides) under uncultured bacterium. RNAcentral's name for it is "partial 16S ribosomal RNA". It matches the Rfam family "Bacterial small subunit ribosomal RNA", at positions 524 to 776 of the family's 1533-position model. The record is from RNAcentral.